This 253-nucleotide ribosomal RNA is filed under the name uncultured bacterium. RNAcentral describes it as "partial 16S ribosomal RNA". It matches the Rfam family "Bacterial small subunit ribosomal RNA", at positions 524 to 776 of the family's 1533-position model. The record is from RNAcentral.
UACGUAGGGUGCAAGCGUUACUCGGAAUUACUGGGCGUAAAGCGUGCGCAGGCGGUUAUGUAAGACCGAUGUGAAAUGCCCGGGCUUAACCUGGGAACUGCAUUUGUGACUGCAUGGCUAGAGUUUGGCAGAGGGGGGUAGAAUUCCACGUGUAGCAGUGAAAUGCGUAGAUAUGUGGAGGAACACCGAUGGCGAAGGCAGCCCCCUGGGUCAAGACUGACGCUCAUGCACGAAAGCGUGGGGAGCAAACAGG